RNAcentral lists this long non-coding RNA (696 nucleotides) under Medicago truncatula (barrel medic). RNAcentral describes it as "long non-coding RNA (MTRU_LNC002213)". Lineage: Eukaryota; Viridiplantae; Streptophyta; Magnoliopsida; Fabales; Fabaceae. The record is from RNAcentral.
UUUGUAUUCAUUCUCUUUUGUUUGAUAUAAUCCAAAAUUUACAUCACCACCCAAGUUACUCAUAAAAUACACUUUUCUAUUUUUUAAGUGUUUCUCAAAUUUGAAUAUCAACUUCUUCGCAUAAUGGCAUGAGUUAUAUACAAAAAUUAGAUUAAUUUAAAAUGUCGUUUUUUUACAUUCAUUAUAUACAAAUAGGCGCAUCAAUGGGAAUCAUAUCUAGAUAGAACGGGUGUCUAUCACAGUUGAUAUUAUUAACAAACCAAACAUGAAUUAUUCGAACAACUCGCUUCAUGAUUCUCUGAUCGAGUUGAUUUCAUAGAUGUUAUCAAAUCUUGGUGUCAUGACAAUCUUUUGGAGUUUGACAACACUAUUUGGAAGAAAUGUACAAGUGGGAAUGAUGGAAGAAACAUAUACUAUGUAUAGGAAAAAUAAUAAAAGCAAAUGAUAUCAUGGACAAAUUAAAAAUAUGAUGCAAAAUUGGCUAAUCCUAAAAUGCUUGAUUGGCUUACAACCUAAAAAUAUCUAGAGAGACAUCACAAACAAACAAAACACGGACAAUCCGAACAACCACGAUCCAUGAUUCCUUCACAGGGCUGAUCUCAGAGAUGUUAUCAGAUCUUGAUGUCACUAUAAUCUCGUUUUUUAGAUUGAUGGGGAGGAGGAAUAGAUGAAUGAGACAAUUGAAUAAGAACGGAG